RNAcentral lists this ribosomal RNA (443 nucleotides) under uncultured bacterium. RNAcentral describes it as "partial 16S ribosomal RNA". It matches the Rfam family "Bacterial small subunit ribosomal RNA", at positions 338 to 795 of the family's 1533-position model. The record is from RNAcentral.
CCUACGGGAGGCAGCGGUGGGGAAUAUUGGGCAAUGGGCGAAAGCCUGACCCAGCAAUACCGCGUGAAUGAAGAAGGUCUUCGGAUCGUAAAAUUCUGUCCUAUGGGAAGAAAAAAAUGACGGUACCAUAGGACGAAGCCUCGGCUAACUACGUGCCAGCAGCCGCGGUAAUACGUAGGGGGCGAGCGUUGUCCGGAAUUACUGGGCGGAAAUAGAGCGUAUGCGGCACUACAAGUAUAAGGCGAAAUACCCGGGCUUAACUUGGGGGUUGGAUGGGAAACUGUAGAGCUUGAGUACAGGAGAGGCGAGCGGAAGUCCUAGUGUAGCGGUGAAAUGCAUAGAUAUAAGGAGGAACACCAGUGGCGAAGGCGGCUUGCUGGACUGAAACUGACGCUGAGGCUCGAAAGCGUGGGGAGCAAACAGGAUUAGAUACCCUUGUAGUC